RNAcentral lists this transfer RNA (62 nucleotides) under Stenocladius sp. FM17. Its description in RNAcentral is "tRNA-Thr". Lineage: Eukaryota; Metazoa; Arthropoda; Insecta; Coleoptera; Lampyridae. The record is from RNAcentral. RNAcentral also lists the same sequence under 3 other names.
GUAUUAAUAAUUUAUUUAAAAUAUCGGUCUUGUAAACCGAAAAAAAGGAAACUUUUAAAACU